AAUACCGCGUGUGUGAAGAAGGCCUUAGGGUUGUAAAGCACUUUCAAUUGGAAGGAAAAACUCAUGGCCAAUACCCGUGAGCUUGACAUUACCUUUAGAAGAAGCACCGGCUAACUCCGUGCCAGCAGCCGCGGUAAUACGGAGGGUGCAAGCGUUAAUCGGAAUUACUGGGCGUAAAGCGUGCGUAGGCGGCUCGCUAAGUCAGAUGUGAAAGCCCCGGGCUCAACCUGGGAACGGCAUUUGAAACUGGCAAGCUAGAGUUUAGGAGAGGAGAGUGGAAUUUCAGGUGUAGCGGUGAAAUGCGUAGAGAUCUGAAGGAACACCAGUGGCGAAGGCGACUCUCUGGCCUAAAACUGACGCUGAGGUACGAAAGCGUGGGUAGCAAACAGGAUUAGAUACCCUGGUAGUCCUCGCCGUAAACGAUGUCAACUAG
Molecule: ribosomal RNA, 433 nt
Filed under: uncultured bacterium
Lineage: Bacteria
Description: bacterial SSU rRNA
Rfam family: Bacterial small subunit ribosomal RNA
Source: RNAcentral